Molecule: ribosomal RNA, 749 nt
Filed under: uncultured soil archaeon
Lineage: Archaea
Description: bacterial SSU rRNA
Rfam family: Archaeal small subunit ribosomal RNA
Source: RNAcentral
UAACCUCGGGAAACUGAGGAUAAACCGCGAUAGGCCAAAGUUUCUGGAAUGGACACUGGCUGAAAUCUAUACGGCCCCUGGAUUGGACUGCGGCCGAUCAGGCUGUUGGUGAGGUAAUGGCCCACCAAACCUGUAACCGGUAUGGGCUCUGAGAGGAGGAGCCCGGAGAUGGGCACUGAGACAAGGGCCCAGGCCCUAUGGGGCGCAGCAGGCGCGAAACCUCUGCAAUAGGCGAAAGCUUGACAGGGUUACUCUGAGUGAUGUCCGUUAAGGGCAUCUUUUGGCACUUCUAAAAAUGGUGCAGAAUAAGGGGUGGGCAAGUCUGGUGUCAGCCGCCGCGGUAAUACCAGCACCCCGAGUGGUCGGGACGUUUAUUGGGCCUAAAGCAUCCGUAGCCGGUUCUACAAGUCUUCCGUUAAAUCCACCUGCUUAACAGAUGGGCUGCGGAAGAUACUAUAGAGCUAGGAGGCGGGAGAGGCAAGCGGUACUCGAUGGGUAGGGGUAAAAUCCGUUGAUCCAUUGAAGACCACCAGCGGCGAAGGCGGCUUGCCAGAACGCGCUCGACGGUGAGGGAUGAAAGCUGAGGGAGCAAACCGGAUUAGAUACCCGGGUAGUCCCAGCUGUAAACGAUGCAGACUCGGUGAUGAGUUGGCUUAUUGCUAACUCAGUGCCGCAGGGAAGCCGUUAAGAUUGCCGCCUGGGGAGUACGGUCGCAAGACUGAAACUUAAAGGAAUUGGCGGGGGAGCAC